RNAcentral lists this ribosomal RNA (511 nucleotides) under Austrothelphusa sp. ww23255. RNAcentral describes it as "partial large subunit ribosomal RNA". It matches the Rfam family "Bacterial large subunit ribosomal RNA", at positions 1829 to 2584 of the family's 2925-position model. Lineage: Eukaryota; Metazoa; Arthropoda; Malacostraca; Decapoda; Parathelphusidae. The record is from RNAcentral. RNAcentral also lists the same sequence under 2 other names.
GUCUGUUUGGUGCUAUAAAGAGUCUGACCUGCCCACUGACUAAAGUUGAUUUAAGGGCCGCAGUAUUAUGACUGUGCAAAGGUAGCAUAAUCAUUAGGUUUUUAAAUGAGAUCUUGUAUGAAUGGUUGGACAAAGGAGGAUCUGUCUUAAUUUUAAAAUUUGAAUUUUACUUUUAAGUGAGAAGGCUUAAAUAUUUUAGGGGGACGAUAAGACCCUAUAAAGCUUUACAUAAGGAUUACAUUUAAUUGAAUUUAUAAAUUUAAAAGUUCUAUGUGAUUAUUUGUUUUAUUGGGGCGGUAGAGGCAGAAGUGAAUUAUAGCUGCCUGUAAAAUAAACAUUUGUUUGUGGGGUAAAUAGUAAUAGAUCCUGGUUAUAGAUUUGAAGUUUAAGUUACUUUAGGGAUAACAGUAUAAUUUUUUUUAAGAGUUCAUAUCGAAAAGAAAGUUUGUAACCUCGAUGUUGAAUUAAAAUGUCUACACGAUGUAGUUGUUGUGUAAGAGGGUCUGUUCGA